GCCCUCGUAGUGUAGUGGUCAGCACGCUCGACUUGUAUUCGAGAGGUCCGUGGUUCGAGUCCCGGCGAGGGCA
Non-coding RNA from Stegodyphus dumicola, 73 nucleotides. NCBI's taxonomy places the organism in Eukaryota, Metazoa, Arthropoda, Arachnida, Araneae, Eresidae. The record is from the annotation of a RefSeq genome assembly.